AUUCAACUGACGAGUCCAAAAUAAGACGAAACACGCAACUUGGAU
This 45-nucleotide non-coding RNA is filed under the name Schistosoma mattheei. The record is from RNAcentral. Lineage: Eukaryota; Metazoa; Platyhelminthes; Trematoda; Strigeidida; Schistosomatidae.